AAAUUAAAUAUUAAUCGAAAUACAAAUAUUUUAUUAAACAGGAUAAAUAGAACCUAAAAUCCUUGAAAGAACAUACAACACACUAGGAGCUCCGGUCAAAAAAAUAAAAAUAAAAAAAAUAACCAAAAGGGCCGAGGAAGGGCCCAAACAACAAAAGGUUGAAGGACCAAAAGUCCAAAAAGAAUUCUAAAAAAAAAAAAGAGUAUGGGACGACAUCAAAAUCCUAAGCCCAAAAAGAAAGAAAACGCUCGAUGCGAACUCCAGCAAUCCAAAACACAAGAAGAACUUUCAAAUUCCUAAAUUUGUUAGCAUAUAAGCAGAACUUGUUUAUAAUAGUAGAAUUUUUCAAUAGGGAGUUAUAAGGUUUAAAUUAUCUAUUUUUAUUAUUAUUUAUUAUUAUUAUUAUUUUAAAUGGGACUAUAUAUACAACCACCCAAAAUCCAAUUUUGUUGACAUAUAAUUUAUAAGUAAAAAAUUGGAUGAAUUGCAUGUAAAUAUAAAUGAUAAAACUUUUCAAAAGAUAAGCUAAUCUAAAUAAAAAUUCAUGUCAAACUCGAUAAUCCAAAUAAAUAUUUUAUCAGAGUUACACCUCGAACAAUGUAGAAAA
RNAcentral lists this long non-coding RNA (607 nucleotides) under Salvia miltiorrhiza (redroot sage). Its description in RNAcentral is "long non-coding RNA (SMIL_LNC012810)". The record is from RNAcentral. Lineage: Eukaryota; Viridiplantae; Streptophyta; Magnoliopsida; Lamiales; Lamiaceae.